RNAcentral lists this ribosomal RNA (253 nucleotides) under uncultured bacterium. RNAcentral's name for it is "partial 16S ribosomal RNA". It matches the Rfam family "Bacterial small subunit ribosomal RNA", at positions 524 to 776 of the family's 1533-position model. The record is from RNAcentral.
GACAGAGGGUGCAAACGUUGUUCGGAAUUACUGGGCGUAAAGCGAGUGUAGGCGGUCUGAAAAGUCGGGUGUGAAAGCCCCGGGCUCAACCCGGGAAGUGCACUCGAAACUGCCAGGCUAGAGUAUCGGAGAGGUUGGUGGAGUUCUCGGUGUAGAGGUGAAAUUCGUAGAUAUCGAGAGGAACACCGGUGGCGAAGGCGGCCAACUGGACGAAUACUGACGCUGAGACUCGAAAGCGUGGGGAGCAAACAGG